GACGAACGCUGGCGGCGUGAUUAACACAUGCAAGUCGAACGAAGUGGCGAACGGGUGAGUAACGCGUAAUGAACCUGCCCUUCAGCGGGGGACAACAGUUGGAAACGACUGCUAAUACCGCAUACUGAAGGAGGGGAUUGCGUCAGAUUAGCUAGUUGGAGGGGUAAGGGCCCACCAAGGCGAUGAUCAGUAGCCGGUCUUAGAGGAUGAACCGCCACAUUUGGACUGAGACACGACCCAGACUCCUACGGGAGGCAGCAGUGGGGAAUCUUCCGCAAUGUACGAAAGUCUUACGGAACAACGCCGCGUGAGUGAUGACGGCCUUCGGGUUGUAAAGCUCUGUUGUUAGAGAAGCGGUAUCUAACCAGAAAGCCACGGCUAACUACGUGCCAGCAGCCGCGGUAAUUC
RNAcentral lists this ribosomal RNA (408 nucleotides) under uncultured bacterium. RNAcentral's name for it is "partial 16S ribosomal RNA". It matches the Rfam family "Bacterial small subunit ribosomal RNA", at positions 28 to 526 of the family's 1533-position model. The record is from RNAcentral.